CGCCCAUCGUCUAGCGGUUAGGACGCCGCCCUUUCACGGCGGAAACAGGGGUUCGAUUCCCCUUGGGCGUACCA
This 74-nucleotide transfer RNA is filed under the name Brucella vulpis. RNAcentral's name for it is "tRNA-Glu". It matches the Rfam family "tRNA". From Rfam's summary of the family: Transfer RNA (tRNA) molecules are approximately 80 nucleotides in length. Their secondary structure includes four short double-helical elements and three loops (D, anti-codon, and T loops). The record is from RNAcentral. RNAcentral also lists the same sequence under 1 other name. Lineage: Bacteria; Pseudomonadati; Pseudomonadota; Alphaproteobacteria; Hyphomicrobiales; Brucellaceae.